RNAcentral lists this ribosomal RNA (484 nucleotides) under uncultured bacterium. RNAcentral's name for it is "partial 16S ribosomal RNA". It matches the Rfam family "Bacterial small subunit ribosomal RNA", at positions 30 to 507 of the family's 1533-position model. The record is from RNAcentral.
AUUGAACGCUGGCGGCAGGCCUAACACAUGCAAGUCGAGCGGAUGAAGGGAGCUUGCUCCUGGAUUCAGCGGCGGACGGGUGAGUAAUGCCUAGGAAUCUGCCUGGUAGUGGGGGAUAACGUCCGGAAACGGGCGCUAAUACCGCAUACGUCCUGAGGGAGAAAGUGGGGGAUCUUCGGACCCCACGCUAUCAGAUGAGCCUAGGUCGGAUUAGCUAGUUGGUGGGGUAAAGGCCUACCAAGGCGACGAUCCGUAACUGGUCUGAGAGGAUGAUCAGUCACACUGGAACUGAGACACGGCCCAGACUCCUACGGGAGGCAGCAGUGGGGAAUAUUGGAAGAUGGGCGAAAGCCUGAUCCAGCCAUGCCGCGUGUGUGAAGAAGGUCUUCGGAUUGGAAAGCACUUUAAGGUUGGAGGAAGGGCAGUAAGUUAAUACCUUGCUUUUUUGACGUUACCAACAGAAUAAGCACCGGCUAACUUCGUG